Molecule: long non-coding RNA, 260 nt
Filed under: Daucus carota (carrot)
Lineage: Eukaryota; Viridiplantae; Streptophyta; Magnoliopsida; Apiales; Apiaceae
Description: long non-coding RNA (DCAR_LNC007222)
Source: RNAcentral
UGGUAUUGGCUAUAUUGGUUGGCUAUAAUUUAAAAAUAGCAUGUUAUUAAUAUUUUAGAUUGUUAAAAUAGAAUAUAUCAGUUCAAUAUGGUAAUAAAUGAUGUGCAAUCUUCCUACAGAUUUCUUACAGACCUGUAGAGGUUCGACAAAUUUAGCCAUCCAUAGAAGGUUGGCUAAAUUUAUAGACAACAGGUCACUAUGGUUGGAGUUUGAAUUUUUGAAGUGGUUGGCUAAAUUUUUUAUUUUUGGCAUGACAACUC